This 862-nucleotide unclassified non-coding RNA is filed under the name Hevea brasiliensis (rubber tree). The record is from RNAcentral. Lineage: Eukaryota; Viridiplantae; Streptophyta; Magnoliopsida; Malpighiales; Euphorbiaceae.
GUAAGGCAAAUCAUCUUCAGACAUGGCAAGAAGACGACCAUUAAAGUAUACCAACCCAGCGUUAGCAACACCCGUCCCAUGGCUAGGAUCAACGAUCCCAAAAAGGCCACGAGCACAAAAAAGCAACAGCCUAGCUAUCCCGGAGUGGCCAUGGAGUUCACCGAUGGCCUUUGGGAAAACGGGGCGUCCCAAUUUUCUCUCUUGAACAAGCCUGUUUGUCUCCGUGAACCGACAAGCAUAGCUGACAGACCCGUUCUCAAAGCGGACAGCAUGGACCAUCCCAUCACCAUCAAAAAAGUGGUGACCAGCCACAGGUUCGUGAAGCGGGUUUGCGCCGUUUCGAAGAUAAACACCUCGAAUGCUGUCUGGGAUUUUACCGGCAACAGGCAAAUUAUGUACAACGGGUUGCUCCGGCACGGGAGCGAAGUUACCUGAAAUUUGGACUGUUGGGUCAGCAGUUUUGGGAAGAGGGUAUUGAUUUUCAUGUGAAACCAAAGCACUUUCCACAGCAUCUAAGGCCAUAGCUGCAGCCCUUUGUAAAAGAUUCAAUUGGUUGAUCUCUGGUGCCAAGGAUUUAUCAACAGAAGGAGCAGGAGGAAGAGUGACUUUGUUAGGAAUAGUUGUGGAAAUAGAAGGAGAGGGAGGAAAAGAAGUGGUUCUGGGGGACUGUUUAGGGAAAUGGAGAAUGGAAGGAGUAUGGAGAGAGGAGGAGAUGUUGAGUUUUGUACUAGCCCUAGGCGCGUCAAGAGAAAUGGAAGAGCCCAUGCUUAUAGCUGAAGAAGCCAUGGUGAUGAAAUUCAGAGGAAUAAUGCGUAAAUUAAAUAUAAGCUGUUAAGGCGUGGAAGAUAUAAUAAAGAGCUAG